GAUGAACGCUGGCGGCGUGCCUAAUACAUGCAAGUCGAGCGAACAGACGAGGAGCUUGCUCCUCUGACGUUAGCGGCGGACGGGUGAGUAACACGUGGAUAACCUACCUAUAAGACUGGGAUAACUUCGGGAAACCGGAGCUAAUACCGGAUAAUAUAUUGAACCGCAUGGUUCAAUAGUGAAAGACGGUUUUGCUGUCACUUAUAGAUGGAUCUGCGCUGCAUUAGCUAGUUGGUAAGGUAACGGCUUACCAAGGCAAGCAUGCGUAGCCGACCGGCGAGGGUGGUAGGCCACACUGGAAGUGAGACACGGUCCAGACGCCUGAGGGAGGCAGCAGUAGGGUAUCGUCCGCAAUGGGCGGAAGCCUGACGGAGCAACGCCGCGUGAGUGAUGAAGGUCUUCGGAUCGUAAAACUCUGUUAUUAGGGAAGAACAAAUGUGUAAGUAACUAUGCACGUCUUGACGGUACCGGGUCAGAAAGCCACGGCUAACUACGUG
RNAcentral lists this ribosomal RNA (497 nucleotides) under uncultured bacterium. RNAcentral describes it as "partial 16S ribosomal RNA". It matches the Rfam family "Bacterial small subunit ribosomal RNA", at positions 28 to 507 of the family's 1533-position model. The record is from RNAcentral.